RNAcentral lists this ribosomal RNA (492 nucleotides) under uncultured bacterium. RNAcentral describes it as "partial 16S ribosomal RNA". It matches the Rfam family "Bacterial small subunit ribosomal RNA", at positions 29 to 507 of the family's 1533-position model. The record is from RNAcentral.
AGUGAACGCUGGCGGUAGGCCUAACACAUGCAAGUCGAACGGCAGCACAGUAAGAGCUUGCUCUUACGGGUGGCGAGUGGCGGACGGGUGAGGAAUACAUCUGAAUCUACUUUUUCGUGGGGGAUAACGUAGGGAAACUUACGCUAAUACCGCAUACGACCUACGGGUGAAAGCAGGGGAUCUUCGGACCUUGCGCGAUUGAAUGAGCCGAUGUCGGAUUAGCUAGUUGGCGGGGUAAAGGCCCACCAAGGCGACGAUCCGUAGCUGGUCUGAGAGGAUGAUCAGCCACACUGGAACUGAGACACGGUCCAGACUCCUACGGGAGGCAGCAGUGGGGAAUAUUGGACAAUGGGCGCAAGCCGGAUCCAGCCAUACCGCGUGGGUGAAGAAGGCCUUCGGGUUGUAAAGCCCUUUUGUUGGGAAAGAAAAGCAGCAGGUUAAUACCCCGCUGUUCUGACGGUACCCAAAGAAUAAGCACCGGCUAACUUCGUG